AGUCAAUGAUCGAAAGAUUGAUCUAGUUACUUAGAAAGAUGAUACUUUUGAAAUAAUAAUAUUUAAUUUAAAUAUUAUUAAGAAAAUUUAAGAAUGAAAAAUAUAAAAUCUGACAAUAUUCUAAAUAAACGAACGAUAUAAAGAAUAUUGUUAUGGUCUCAACCCAGAGUAGUGCCAGCAGUUGCGGUUAGACUACGGAGGCUAACGUUAAUCGGUAUUUGGCUUAAAGGAUCCGCAGGUUAUAUCGAAAAGAUAUUAGAGUUAUUUAGCUUAGAAUUAUUGAACAAUCAUAGCAAGAUAUAAAAUGUGAUAAUCAUGAUUGUACAUUUAAUAUUGAAAAUUAUAUUCAGGCAUUUAACUGACACUCAUGGAUGAAGGCGUGAGUAGCAAAUCGGAUUAGAUACCCGACUAGUUCACGCAGUAAACUAUGAAUACUACAAAGUAAAGUUUAUAAUAACAACUUUAUCAACAGUAUAAGUGAAAACUUAAGUAUUCCGCCAGGCGAGUAUACUCUCAAGAGUGAAACUCAAGACAAUAGGCGGUUACAGGAAUAUGCAGUGGAUUGUGUUAU
This 571-nucleotide ribosomal RNA is filed under the name Ogataea minuta. RNAcentral's name for it is "partial small subunit ribosomal RNA". It matches the Rfam family "Bacterial small subunit ribosomal RNA", at positions 366 to 945 of the family's 1533-position model. Lineage: Eukaryota; Fungi; Ascomycota; Pichiomycetes; Pichiales; Pichiaceae. The record is from RNAcentral.